RNAcentral lists this unclassified non-coding RNA (400 nucleotides) under Hevea brasiliensis (rubber tree). The record is from RNAcentral. Lineage: Eukaryota; Viridiplantae; Streptophyta; Magnoliopsida; Malpighiales; Euphorbiaceae.
GCAAAGACCAACUCAAUCUUAUCAAAAUUGGCUACUAAUGAAGAGCAUGGCGAAAACUCGCCAUAUUUUGAUGGGUGGAAAGCAUACGAUAGUGAUCCUUUCCACCCUCUAAAAAACCCCAACGGAGUUAUCCAAAUGGGUCUUGCUGAAAAUCAGCUUUGUUUAGACUUGAUAGAAGAUUGGAUUAAGAGAAACCCAAAAGGUUCAAUUUGUUCUGAAGGAAUCAAAUCAUUCAAGGCCAUUGCCAACUUUCAAGAUUAUCAUGGCUUGCCUGAAUUCAGAAAAGCGAUUGCGAAAUUUAUGGAGAAAACAAGAGGAGGAAGAGUUAGAUUUGAUCCAGAAAGAGUUGUUAUGGCUGGUGGUGCCACUGGAGCUAAUGAGACAAUUAUAUUUUGUUUGG